AUUGAACGCUGGCGGCAGGCCUAACACAUGCAAGUCGAGCGGAUGAAGGGAGCUUGCUCCUGGAUUCAGCGGCGGACGGGUGAGUAAUGCCUAGGAAUCUGCCUGGUAGUGGGGGAUAACGUCCGGAAACGGGCGCUAAUACCGCAUACGUCCUGAGGGAGAAAGUGGGGGAUCUUCGGACCUCACGCUAUCAGAUGAGCCUAGGUCGGAUUAGCUAGUUGGUGGGGUAAAGGCCUACCAAGGCGACGAUCCGUAACUGGUCUGAGAGGAUGAUCAGUCACACUGGAAAUGAGACAAGGUUCAGACUCCUAAGGGAGGCAGCAGUUGGGAAUAUUGGAACAAGGGCGAAAGCCUGAACCAGCCAUGCCGCGUGUGUGAAGAAGGUCUUCGGAUUGUAAAGCACUUUAAGUUGGGAGGAAGGGCAGUAAGUUAAUACCUUGCUGUCUUGACGUUACCAACAGAAUAAGCACCGGCUAACUUCGUG
RNAcentral lists this ribosomal RNA (484 nucleotides) under uncultured bacterium. RNAcentral describes it as "partial 16S ribosomal RNA". It matches the Rfam family "Bacterial small subunit ribosomal RNA", at positions 30 to 507 of the family's 1533-position model. The record is from RNAcentral.